UACCAAUUUUUGCUGAUACUUCUAUAGCUGCUAUCACUAACAUUGUCGUUGUCAGUGAUCUUGGACAAACUAGGAGUGAAGUUGAGUGGAGUUAAUGAGGAUUAUAGGUUUGGUAAAAUAUUUAUCAUCUUGCUACAUGAAUCUGAUGUUUUGUCAUCUCUCCUUCAAGGUUCUUGAAGGCUACUGAUUCUCACUAUCCCACCCCUCACGUAAUCAUGAAAAGGGGUAGAAAGAAAAAUAUUUGCAUAUGCCUAAUAUUAUUUAAUUUCUGCCUUCAUUUUGCAGGAGG
Molecule: unclassified non-coding RNA, 289 nt
Filed under: Hevea brasiliensis (rubber tree)
Lineage: Eukaryota; Viridiplantae; Streptophyta; Magnoliopsida; Malpighiales; Euphorbiaceae
Source: RNAcentral